This 4037-nucleotide long non-coding RNA is filed under the name Gossypium barbadense (sea-island cotton). RNAcentral's name for it is "long non-coding RNA (GBAR_LNC015391)". Lineage: Eukaryota; Viridiplantae; Streptophyta; Magnoliopsida; Malvales; Malvaceae. The record is from RNAcentral.
AAAAGGAAAACACGAGGAGAAUCUAAAUAGGACUAAUUGUUGGUAUUGUAUCAAACUCAAGGCUCUUUGCUUAUUCAGUUCCCUCAAAUCAUAUCAUGCAUCUACCAUUGUAACAAAAAGGGUUUUCCAGAACAAAUUCAGUACCCAAAAAAGAAAAAGAGAAAUCAAUGCUGAAACUGGGAAUUCUAAGCACAGAUUGUGAUUCAAGCAAUGAAAAAAAAAGGAACUCACAUUGAUGCAUAUAAUCGUUGUCUAUUGUCGACAGAACCAGGCGAGUUUCCUCUUAUUUUUCUAAGCUGUUAGCAGCAAACUCAUGCAUGCAACAUCUGAUAAUCCAUAAAGAAAAUAAUUUGUUUUUAUAUACAAUUUUUAAAACUUUUUAAAAAUUUAAAAACUUAUUUUAAUUUUUUUGAACUAUUUUAUAUUUAGCACUAAUAAAUAAAUAAAAGCAUUUUUAAAUACAAUAUAAAAUAAUUUAUCCAAAGUUUUAUGCAUAUUUUAGAGUAAAAGAUUUAUACAUUUUAAAAGUUUCAAAAAUUUGAAAUACUAUUUUUAAAACAGUUUUUAAAGUUGAAAAAUAUUGUUUAUAAAUUGUUUAUAAUUUAAAAAAACUAAAUAAAAAUACAUUUAUCAAAAUUUAAAUAGAUUACAUAAAUUAAAGUAAUUUUUUAUGACUAUCAAAUCUUUUUUUAUAAAACAAACGAGUGCACGCUAUAAAAACAAGUUACGUUAUAUUAUCAAAAUAUAUAAAUCCUAAUUUGAUAAUUUAAAUAUAUAUUAAUAAUUUUAUAUAUUUUAUAUAUUUUCAACUUUAUCUUGUAUUAUAUUUUAUUUUUAAAUAAAAAUAUAUAAUGAUAAAAAGAUUUAUUAUUUUCUAUGAUUUUUUUUAAAAAAUGGUUAUAUAUAAAGAAUAAUAACAAAGGGGAUUAAUAUAAUUUACCAUUAUAAUUUUAAAAUUAUCUUUAAUUUAAAAAUAUAUUAUAAUUUUAAAUUAUUAUAUUUUAUUAAUUUGAAAUAAAAAAUUAAUUAUAUAUAAAAAGUUGUCACAUAUUAAAAAAAUGAAUAUGACAUGUGUUAAAAUAUUAAUCCUCAAUAUCAAUUGGGAGCGUAAAAUCUUAUAAUAUAUAUGAUAUCAUAAGAGAAAGCUUAACCCGACCCAUUUGCUGGACCCACUUUCUAAAAAGACACAGUCUUAGUUUUUUAAAUAGUAGGUUUGCAAUACCAACCUCGUUGGAAAACGAAGGUAAAAUUUUAGUGGGUGAAAGUACCCCAUCGAUUGUUGGAUUAUCAAUAAGUGAGUAAAUAAAUGGCAUGGCAUGGCAUAUGACUAUUUGGGUAAUGAUGAAAUCUCAUUGAGGAUGAUGACAUGCAUUUAUAAAAUGUUAAUAAUUAAUACAAUAUAGAAAUUCUAAAAAUUUACAAAAUAAUUGUACAUGUUACUAAUUAUGAUUGGCUAUAAUAAUUAGGGAUAACGUCAUAUUUGGUAAUUGUAUUUUAAAAUGUCCAAUGUGGUAUUUGAGCAAUCAAUAUAUGUGUUAUACCUUUUCUCAACAAUGACACGUGGCAGAACAAGAAAUGACUCGUGAGAACUUAAAUAGAAGCCCAUAGAUGGCCCCUUGUUGAAUAUCCUUCAUUGUGACCCCUUGUUGGAUUUUACGUAACUAGCCAUCAGUGCAUUCCACUUAAAACAACUAGGAGAUUGCCUGUUUCUAGCCACCUGCUUGAAAGGCCAGAUAGUCUCAAAGUCGGGUUUCAAGGGAUAAAUUUACAUUAAGGUUGGCUUGAGAGACUCAAACGGUUCAAACAAAAAUUCACCUAAAUUAUUUUCAAAAUUCUAUGCCUCCUAGGAGUUCACCUCAAGAAAUUACUAAGUCAAUUCUAAAGAGUUAAACUUUCAUGCAUGCUUAGCUUUUCCAAGGAAUUAAACGUUUCAUGGUUUGAUUUACAUAUUUUAUUAAGACGAACAUUAUGUCAUAAUUCAACUAACAUAACAAUUAUUGAGAUAAUAGAACUUUAUUUAUACUAAAGUUUAACAUCAUCAACAAAAUUCAAAAUUUUGAGCAAAAUAUAACUUAAUAAUAAUUUGAUAGGAAAAAUAAAUUCUUAAAAAGAAAAAAAUUCAACUUUUGGUCCCCCCACUUAAGAUGAACAAUGCCCCUAUUAUUAAAAACGAUAGAUAGAAGGGACGAAAAUAUAAAAGUGAAUAGAUAUUGUACACCAGGUAGGGUCCCAGGAAAGGGAGGUGUGUAAUGCCCAAAAAAUGUUAGAUUUUUAAUUGUGCAAGCAUGUCAAUUAAUUUGAUUUGGUGUGUGGGUUAAAUGCCUUGAAAGUCUACUGUAGAUCCUGUGUUCGAUUCCUUUGUUUUGAAUUUUCAUAUUUAUUUUGGAAUUAUGUCAAGCUUAACUUUCCGGGCUUAUUUUAUAUUCUUUGUUGGGUUAUGAGAAGGAUGAGCCUAUUGGUUAAAUGUUUAAGCUUUUGUAUUCUUCUUGGUCUUGAGUUCGAAUCUUGGUGUAAGCAAAUGAAGUGUUUUUGUUGCUUGCAUUUGUUAGUAGUUGAGUUCUUUUUGAAUUACAAUAGUCUAAUGGUUAGUUAUUAUAGGAUAUUUUAUUUUAUUUUCUUAAGUUAUCAAAAUAAAAAAAUCCCUAAAAUCACUCUACUUUUGCACACCCCACAAUCUCUCCUUUCACGUUCAUAUCUCUUUUUCUUGUUUACUUCUUUUUCUUUUGAAGUUUUCUUUUUCUAUUUUUUUCUUCUUCUUUCUUUUCUGCUGGUACUCGCUUGCUGCCAUUCCAUUUUUCCCCUUGUAUUCGUGCACGGUGUUGUUAUUUAAUCUUAUUUCUGAACGUGGAGUAAGUUUGUCUGAUUAUUUUUAUUCUUUUGCUUUGAAAUUGUUUAUUGAACAAGUUAGGAGUUGUGGUUAUGUUUGAUCCUCGUUCUUAGUUAUGAUGAACGUUCUUGUGUUUUUGAUUAGGCGAAGGGGGUGAGAACCAAAUUCCUCCAGCAGAGUAGUUCUCAUAUUUGGCACUGUUUUUUACUAGUAAGUAUACGAAUCUUGUUUUAGGGUCUGAAUUUUUGACAAAAGAAUGCCAAUUUGGAUGGGUCUUUGAUGAUUAUUUUGUGCAAUUUGUUGAGUGAUUGUAGGAUUCGUGAGCUCCCCAUAGUGUGGUUAAUCAAUUACGUCAUUAGGUGUGUGAACUAACUCAAAAAACUCAUUAGGAUCUCAUAAAGUAAAAAAAAAGGGUUGUUUUGGAAACUACCCAGCGUCAUACGACCAUGUGACAAACCAUGUACAUCACACGGCUGUGUGGAGCACAUAAUCGUGUGUAAUUUUGUAGCCCGUGUUUGUAGGUCGUGUGGGCCACACAGUCAUUUAGGCCUUUUGGCCUAAUUUUAAGGCCCGAAUAGCGGCCGAUUAAGGGACUCAGAAAUUGGGUCCAUGGGCAUUAUUUAGGCCUGAAAAAAAGCGUAAGUUUCAGUAUGCAAACAUAGGUAUGUGUAGAAAGCAUGUUAAGUAGGUUUCGAUAAGUAUAUUAAUAUGAUAUGAUAUACUCUAUAAGUAUGUAUGUUAACCAUGCAAGUUAUAUGAUUGGUGAGUACCUUAUGCAAUGUUAUGUUUCGUAUAAAAAUAUAUGUGUAUGCAUGCCGUGCGAUUUAUGUUAUAAGUAUGUACAAUAUUAUAUCUAUGUUUUAGGGUGGUAUUAAUAUGAUGGAGGAAGUGCUAUAUGGCAGUAUCUACUGCAAUUAUGGUGGCUAGACCACAAAUUCCUGUUUGGCAACUCAAUUGCGUAUUUAUGAGUGGCAUACUGCCACGUACUAGUGUGAUUGGAUGGAUGGACUCUUCUAGUCUUAAUUGGUGUGAUUGGUUGGACGGAGAUGGUGUGUAGCGGAUGAAGGCAGGAUAUGAUAUGUUAUAAGAUAUGUUUCGAUAUGAAUCUGAUAUGAUAUGAUAUGAUAUGUAUAAGAAAUGUUCUGAAAUGGAGUUUGAUAUGCUUUGAUACAUUCUAGUAUAUAUAUUUGUAUUAUUUUGUUCGUGUGGG